This is a long non-coding RNA of Anguilla anguilla (European eel), 1569 nucleotides long. RefSeq lists it as uncharacterized. The record is from RefSeq and is a predicted model, not a curated record. The transcript is spliced from 2 exons. NCBI's taxonomy places the organism in Eukaryota, Metazoa, Chordata, Actinopteri, Anguilliformes, Anguillidae.
CUGGGGAGAGCUGAGAUGGGUGUGCUGUGAUUUAUAUUGGGAAAAAAAAUAAAAAGAAGUAUUUAGAUUCUAACCAUAGUAGAUGUGUGACAUUUAUGUCAGCGUGUACAAUAUUAGAAAUUAAUGAUAGCCAAAAAACGUGCAUCCAUAACACUUGGUCAUGUAAGCAUGUACAAACCAAACCCUGGAAACAAAAUACAAAUGAGUAUUUCUGAGAAAAAUGCAAAUGAGCAUUUCUGAGAUUCCAGUACUUCUCAGUACAUUUGUACAGUUUAUAUAUUUAUGUGUUCGUAGGACCGGGUGUUGCCUUGAUGCACACUAUUUCUAUAUUUUGGUUGUUUGUUUGUUGCAGCCCCAAAGCCGAGUUCACGUAUUUUAAAAUGUUGCAAUCUCUCGCUGCUGCUUUGCUAAGAACUUCUCUGCCUGGUCAAAAGAACAACGUGGUAACACGAGGACUGGAUGUUCCGCUGAUCUAGAUUCAUCAUUUGGCCACCAGCCCCAUCCGUAAAGGAAGACUGUGUUCUCUACAGCACACUUCGAAAACUGGACAUGUGAAAAUAAACCAGCAAGAUAUCUUGCUUCAUAAACUGUGGACCAAUGCUGGUUAUUCAAUGUAAAUUUGGACAUUUCUUUUAAUGUGUGAGCAUUUCCUGUGUUUUUCCUUGAACUUUAAACAGCAAAUUGUCUGCAAAGUAAUCCUCAAGCGGUAUGAACCAAACAUUUCCUUCACUGGAUAAUACAUUUAAGAGUAUUUAUUAAAACUAGUGAACAUAAACUCUCCUCAUGAACUCAGGUCACAUGACUGUGCCUUUGUCACAUGACCAGGAUGACUGUGGUUAUUGGGUCUGCAAAGAUAUACUCAGAAUGGAUCAUUCCUUUGGCAUUCUAUCAACAUUUACAUGCAUAACAGCUCAUGUCUUCAUAUUGUACACAAAGUAUUAUCAAGAUGUUGGUGACUGAAAACCAUUAUCAUUGCUGAAUGUAUUCGUUGGCCAAAUAUACUAGAGAAUUGAGCUUUAUAUAUAAUUCAAUUUUUUAAAAUUUUUUAUUAAUACUUGUAUAACAUUUACAUUAUUAUGACAUUCCUGUGCACGUUUUGUGAUUAUAUUAUGCUUAUUACUGAACCGAUCCCAUCUAGAGUAUAAAUUCACAUGAGGUGAAUUUGUUUUUCACAUUCUUAGUGUUUAUUUUUUGUAUUGCUAAACGUUAGAAUUCAGAGUAUACCUUGAAUUUGUUUAAACAAUCAUUCAAUGAAACAAACAAAAUAAACCUAUGCUUGAAGAAUUUUGUAAGUAAACCGUGUACUGUAGGUGUUACCCCCUGGGUUCUGCUGAUGGAAUAGAACAUGUGCAGGUAAGGCACUAAACAGGUACUUUAAAAAAACAUCCCACAGGGCCUGCUGGAUUUCCAAAUGAAAACAAGGCUUAUAUAUAUAUAUAUAUAUAUAUAUAUAGCAGACACAGGAUGGGUAAGGAACCCAGUGGAAAAAUUUAGCAAAUGAUGUCAUCAGUACUGUCAUUUAUGUUUUAGUACAGGGUGAGACCUGCACCACAUUGAGUUAAAUGAAAU